GUGUCAGCAGCCGCGGUAAUACGUAGGGUGCAAGCGUUGUCCGGAAUUAUUGGGCGUAAAGAGCUCGUAGGCGGUUUGUCGCGUCGGCUGUGAAAACCUGAGGCUCAACCUCGGGCCUGCAGUCGAUACGGGCAAACUAGAGUUCGGUAGGGGAGACUGGAAUUCCUGGUGUAGCGGUGGAAUGCGCAGAUAUCAGGAGGAACACCAAUGGCGAAGGCAGGUCUCUGGGCCGAAACUGACGCUGAGGAGCGAAAGCGUGGGGAGCGAACAGGAUUAGAAACCCCCGUAGUCC
This 292-nucleotide ribosomal RNA is filed under the name uncultured bacterium. RNAcentral describes it as "partial 16S ribosomal RNA". It matches the Rfam family "Bacterial small subunit ribosomal RNA", at positions 505 to 796 of the family's 1533-position model. The record is from RNAcentral.